GGCAAGAUGGCCGAGUUGGUUAUGGCGCCAGGUUAAGGCUACACCUUAACGCAGUUUCCUGGUCUCGAAAGGGGCGUGGGUUCAAGUCCCACUCUUGUCA
Molecule: transfer RNA, 100 nt
Filed under: Pseudovirgaria hyperparasitica
Lineage: Eukaryota; Fungi; Ascomycota; Dothideomycetes; Acrospermales; Acrospermaceae
Rfam family: tRNA
About the family: Transfer RNA (tRNA) molecules are approximately 80 nucleotides in length. Their secondary structure includes four short double-helical elements and three loops (D, anti-codon, and T loops).
Source: Rfam by way of RNAcentral